Long non-coding RNA from Beta vulgaris subsp. vulgaris (sugar beet), 1269 nucleotides. RefSeq lists it as uncharacterized. The transcript is spliced from 3 exons. The record is from RefSeq and is a predicted model, not a curated record. NCBI's taxonomy places the organism in Eukaryota, Viridiplantae, Streptophyta, Magnoliopsida, Caryophyllales, Amaranthaceae.
CAGUUCAAAUUGAACUAUUGAAAAGGUCCACGAUAGGUGUUAUUGGAGUUUUAUAUGUAAUAUUUUGGGAGUGCUUGAUGUUACUGGAUUAAAUUUUGCCAUAAUACUAUACUAAGUAUCAUUUGUGAGCUUAAUUUCCUUUUGUCUUAGUUUAGAUGAAGCAGAAUUUCUGGUAUAAGCAAACAGUUCACAAAGGAAGCAUUAGAAUUGACAAAUAUCUGUACUUGCGAACACAACCCUGAGUACAAGAACAGACAAUGAAAAUAAGUCCAGGCUAUUGGAUGUGAUUAUGUGAACGUCUCAAAUAUUACAUGUCGACAGAAGCUAUAAGCUGUUAUAAUAUCUUUAAUUCUGCCAUCUGCUGUUUAAAAGAAAAUCAAAACUAAUGCUCUUAUUGAGAGUCGAAUUCAAGACCUCUCGCUUACUAAACGGGUACCCUAACCAACUGUGCUAGAAGAACGCUUUGCCUUGCUAGUCAAUGGAUUGAAACUUUUUUCAAUGCUGAUACUUAACAGUUUUUGCCUAAUUUCUGCAUAGGCAGUUCUUUUUAGUUUUUCCUGUUUUUAGCUCGAUCGUAUCCAUUACAGGUGGAGCCAUGUUCGUGGUCUUUGAAAUUCGGAGUACCAAACUCCAGUCUCCAGUGACUGAACUUGUAGUGUUUACCAGCUCAUUCAGUAUCUAGCAUGAAUUAUAUCUUUCUCCCUGGUGUCAAAUGGGAACUUUUUAACAAUUAGAAGUUUGAUGAUAUUUAUUCAAUAUCUUAUGAUGAAGUUCAGACUGCAAGGACCUUUGCUUGACAAGGUUGGUUUAUUAACUUAGGUCGCUUGUUUGAAAUGUGAAUCUGGCAGCCUGCAGCUCCCUAUUUUGGCCUCUACAAGACUGCAACUUUUUUACAAUUGUGAACUUAUCACUAAUAAGGCGACAAGCGAUUCCUGACAAGUACUUUGGCGGAGUUACAACUGAAUUUUCUCAAAAUAAGCUUGAUGAGCUCAGAGACUUGUGGAUCAAAUAUGUGGAUGAGUAUAAACAAGUGGAUGAAGAAGAAUUGGAAGAUAAUGACCAUUUUAAUUAGGAUGUGUGUAUUUUCUUUUUGAGCGGGAUUAGGGAGGUGCUUUUAUUUUUGUGCACAUGAAUUGGAAGAAACGAUAGGCCUAGGUGUUCUAUUAUUUUUUAUAACUUAGUUGAAUUUUUGGAAUCUUUUAAACAUUAUUUGUGAUUUUGUAGUGAAUGAUAUUCAAUGAAUGAAAAAGUAUUCCAAUUUUAAAGUCA